This 390-nucleotide RNase P RNA is filed under the name Thermoanaerobaculia bacterium. Its description in RNAcentral is "RNase P RNA component class A". It matches the Rfam family "Bacterial RNase P class A". Rfam says of the family: Ribonuclease P (RNase P) is a ubiquitous endoribonuclease, found in archaea, bacteria and eukarya as well as chloroplasts and mitochondria. Its best characterised activity is the generation of mature 5'-ends of tRNAs by cleaving the 5'-leader elements of precursor-tRNAs. The record is from RNAcentral. Lineage: Bacteria; Pseudomonadati; Acidobacteriota; Thermoanaerobaculia.
GGAGGACGACGGGCGAUCGCUUCGCAGCGUCACGCAGCGGAGAGGAAAGUCCGGACUCCCACGGGCAGCAUGCUCGCUAACGGCGAGGCGCGGCGACGCGACGGAAAGUGCAACAGAAAGCAAACCGCCCGGUAUUUCCGGGUAAGGGUGAAAGGGUGCGGUAAGAGCGCACCGCUUCGUCGGCGACGACGAAGGCACGGUAAACCCCAUGUGGAGCAAGACCAAAUAGGGGAGCGGUUGUCGGGCUGCCCGUCCCGCUCGGUCUUCGGACCGUCCGACUCCCGGGUAGGUUGCUAGAGGUCCGCGGCAACGCGGAUCCCAGAGGAAUGAUCGUCACCCGGCGGCUUUCAGCCAACGGGUACAGAAUCCGGCUUACGGCGUCCUCCGGCC